UGACCUCAAAUCAGGUAGGAUUACCCGCUGAACUUAAGCAUAUCAAUAAGCGGAGGAAAAGAAACUAACAAGGAUUCCCCUAGUAACUGCGAGUGAAGCGGGAAAAGCUCAAAUUUAAAAUCUGGCGGUCUUUGGCCGUCCGAGUUGUAGUCUGGAGAAGUGCUUUCCGCGCUGGACCGUGUACAAGUCUCUUGGAACAGAGCGUCAUAGAGGGUGAGAAUCCCGUCUUUGACACGGACUACCAGUGCUUUGUGAUGUGCUCUCAAAGAGUCGAGUUGUUUGGGAAUGCAGCUCAAAAUGGGUGGUAAAUUCCAUCUAAAGCUAAAUAUUGGCGAGAGACCGAUAGCGAACAAGUACCGUGAGGGAAAGAUGAAAAGCACUUUGGAAAGAGAGUUAAACAGUACGUGAAAUUGCUGAAAGGGAAACGCUUGAAGUCAGUCGCGUUGGCCAGGACUCAGCCUUGCUUAUUUGCUUGGUGCAUUUUCUGGUUGACGGGCCAGCAUCGAUUUUGACCGCUGGAAAAAGAUUAGGGGAAUGUGGCACCUUCGGGUGUGUUAUAGCCCUUAGUCACAUACAG
RNAcentral lists this ribosomal RNA (577 nucleotides) under Fomitopsis pinicola. RNAcentral describes it as "eukaryotic LSU rRNA". It matches the Rfam family "Eukaryotic large subunit ribosomal RNA", at positions 1 to 576 of the family's 3401-position model. Lineage: Eukaryota; Fungi; Basidiomycota; Agaricomycetes; Polyporales; Fomitopsidaceae. The record is from RNAcentral.